GCAGCUAACGCAUUAAGCACUCCGCCUGGGGAGUACGACCGCAAGGUUGAAACUCACAGGAAUUGACGGGGGCCCGCACAAGCGGUGGAGCAUGUGGUNUAAUUCGAAGCAACGCGAAGAACCUUACCAGGUCUUGACAUCCAGUGCAAACCUAAGAGAUUAGGUGUUCCCUUCGGGGACGCUGAGACAGGUGGUGCAUGGCUGUCGUCAGCUCGUGUCGUGAGAUGUUGGGUUAAGUCCCGCAACGAGCGCAACCCUUGUCAUUAGUUGCCAUCAUUAAGUUGGGCACUCUAAUGAGACUGCCGGUGACAAACCGGAGGAAGGUGGGGAUGACGUCAAGUCAUCAUGCCCCUUAUGACCUGGGCUACACACGUGCUACAAUGGACGGUACAACGAGAAGCGAACCUGCGAAGGCAAGCGGAUCUCUUAAAGCCGUUCUCAGUUCGGACUGUAGGCUGCAACUCGCCUACACGAAGCUGGAAUCGCUAGUAAUCGCGGAUCAGCACGCCGCGGUGAAUACGUUCCCGGGCCUUGUACACACCGCCCGUCACACCAUGAGAGUCUGUAACACCCAAAGCCGGUGGGAUAACCUUUAUAGGAGUCAGCCGUCUAAGGUAGGACAGAUGAUUAGGGUGAAGUCGUAACAAGGUAGCCGU
RNAcentral lists this ribosomal RNA (656 nucleotides) under uncultured bacterium. RNAcentral describes it as "bacterial SSU rRNA". It matches the Rfam family "Bacterial small subunit ribosomal RNA", at positions 848 to 1503 of the family's 1533-position model. The record is from RNAcentral.